GGACAUCUUGUGAGGUGGGGUUCGUGUUGACAUUCAAAAUCUCUCUCCAAACUGAUGUUUAUAGCAUGGUUACCAACAGCAGCUUUAAGCAGAGUUCCUUGAAGAACGCAGCCUCUUUGGGCUGCUCCGAGUAUCUCUCAAACUGGUCCAAACCAUCCUGCAGUUUGAGGGUCAGUGUGUCGUAGUUGGACCGAACCACCUCCAGGACCUGGUGGGAUGAGAGAGAAGGGAAACAGAAGAUUUAUGUAACUCCCCAGAUGUCGGGUCAACUGGAUGUUUCAACACGACAAGUCGUCUGCAAAUAAAUGAAUAUGUCAUGUG
Molecule: long non-coding RNA, 321 nt
Organism: Notolabrus celidotus (New Zealand spotty)
Lineage: Eukaryota; Metazoa; Chordata; Actinopteri; Labriformes; Labridae
Exons: 2
Source: RefSeq, a predicted model, not a curated record